AGUCAAUAAGCUUUAAGCAAUAUAACUUGAAACUAUAAGAAAGUAAAAUAUACUAUUGACUU
RNAcentral lists this transfer RNA (62 nucleotides) under Pyrops viridirostris. RNAcentral describes it as "tRNA-Ser". Lineage: Eukaryota; Metazoa; Arthropoda; Insecta; Hemiptera; Fulgoridae. The record is from RNAcentral.